CCGUGCUAGGUGGGGAGUUAGCGGUGCCCUGAACCUGCAACCCGCUAUAGCAGGGCUGACCACUCCGCCAGAGGCGUUCGACUCCUUGCGUACCAGGGUCGCUUUGGUGGCAUUGAUCGGCGGGUCCCAUGGAGCAGUGCGGCCGUGAACCUGGUCAGGGGCGGAAGCCAGCAGCCAUAAGCGGUACCGCUGCCUGCCGUGGGGUGGCCUGUCGGGAGUCGCCAAGCGGGUGCUGGCGUGGGGGCCGACGUCGAAAGGAGCGCACGG
RNAcentral lists this signal recognition particle RNA (267 nucleotides) under Candidatus Brocadiia bacterium. RNAcentral describes it as "signal recognition particle sRNA large type". It matches the Rfam family "Bacterial large signal recognition particle RNA". From Rfam's summary of the family: The signal recognition particle (SRP) is a universally conserved ribonucleoprotein involved in the co-translational targeting of proteins to membranes. Archaeal SRP consists of a 7S RNA and homologues of the eukaryotic SRP19 and SRP54 proteins. Lineage: Bacteria; Pseudomonadati; Planctomycetota; Candidatus Brocadiia. The record is from RNAcentral.